RNA transcript from Propithecus coquereli (Coquerel's sifaka), 723 nucleotides. It is a transcript of the gene named 39S ribosomal protein L17, mitochondrial pseudogene, with no coding region annotated. The transcript has a single exon. The record is from RefSeq and is a predicted model, not a curated record. Lineage: Eukaryota; Metazoa; Chordata; Mammalia; Primates; Indriidae.
AAGCUGGAAACACGCGGCUGUCGGUCGCCUCCGCCAUUUCCCAUGGCCGCGUAUUUCGCCGUCUGGGCCUUGGUCCCGAGUCCCACCCCACCUGUUGCGGGACUUGCCCACGGGACGCGGCACGAACGCAUCGAGGCGUCAUGGGCGCGUGUCCACGAGGUGAGGGGCUACGCUGAGAAGCUCAUCGACUAUGGGAAGCUGGGAGACACCAGUGAACGAGCCAUGCGCAUGGCUGACUUCUGGCUCACGGAGAAGGACUUGAUCCCAAAGCCGUUUCAAGUACUGGCCCCUCGAUACCGAGGUCAGAAUGGGGGCUACACGAGAAUGCCGCAGAUUCCAAAUCGGAGUGAGCAGGAUGGAGCCAAGAUGGCAGUGAUCGAAUAUGAAGGGAACUGCCUCCCGCCCUUUCCUCUGCCUCACAGAGAUAGCAACCUUACACUCCUAAAUCAGCUGCUGCAGGGUCUGCGGCAGCACCUCGCCCAGAACCAGGAAGCCAGAGUCCGCAGCUCCCACACAGCUCAAACUCCAGGGAUUUAACUGGAUCUGAAGCAUCCCCAGCCAGUACCGGUGCCCAAGAUCACAGAUCUUUGGAGCUCUUUUAAUCUCUGAAAAGAACUGGAGCUAAGAGUUGGAAAAUGGACAAUCUUAAUGGGGCCAAGAACCUUCUGGGGAGCCAGGUGGCCCUGUUUGCACAAUAGAUAAAAUUCUUUAUAUGAGUGUAUA